Molecule: ribosomal RNA, 756 nt
Filed under: uncultured Sebacina
Lineage: Eukaryota; Fungi; Basidiomycota; Agaricomycetes; Sebacinales; Sebacinaceae
Description: partial 28S ribosomal RNA
Rfam family: Eukaryotic large subunit ribosomal RNA
Source: RNAcentral
GAAUCCCGUAUAUGGCAUGGACUCCCGUUGCUCUGUGAUACACUCUCGACGAGUCGAGUUGUUUGGGAAUGCAGCUCUAAAUGGGUGGUAAAUGCCAUCUAAAGCUAAAUAUUGGCGAGAGACCGAUAGCGAACAAGUACCGUGAGGGAAAGAUGAAAAGCACUUUGGAAAGAGAGUGAAACAGUACGUGAAAUUGUUGAAAGGGAAACGCCUGAAGUCAGUCGCGCCGUUCGGGAUUCAGCCUUGCUUCUGCUCGGUUUACUUCCCGUUGGGUGGGUCAACAUCAGUUUCGGUCGGAGGAGAAAGACUUGGGGAAGGUAGCAGCAUUCGUGCUGUGUUGUAGCCCCUUGUUGUAUACUUCGAUUGGGACUGAGGACCGCAGCACGCCUUUGGCCGGGGUUCGCCCACGUACGUGCUUAGGAUGUUGGCAUAAUGGCUUUAAGCGACCCGUCUUGAAACACGGACCAAGGAGUCUAACAUGUGCGCGAGUGUUUGGGUGUUAAACUCGGACGCGAAAUGAAAGUGAAAGGUUGGGAACACUUAUGUGUGCACCAACGCCCGGAGCUGACCUUCUGUGACGCAUCUGCGGUAGAGCGUAUAUGUUGGGACCCGAAAGAUGGUGAACUAUGCCUGAAUAGGGUGAAGCCAGAGGAAACUCUGGUGGAGGCUCGUAGCGAUUCUGACGUGCAAAUCGAUCGUCAAAUUUGAGUAUAGGGGCGAAAGACUAAUCGAACCAUCUAGUAGCUGGUUCCUGCC